AUGCACUUCGAUCAGUUUCAUAUGUAUAUCUAUCUAGUAAGCAUCUUUGCAUUUUUAUUUUCUCUCUAUUUGUUGCUGCUGUUAAUUGAUCAUUUUUUUUUAUUGCUUUCGCUGGGCAGCGAUGUGUUUUUUUUAACAAGCACUUGAAUCUCAUAGGGGGUGCAACUGUGCAAGGAAAGGUUCUUAAUUAAUUUGAAGUCUCGUAUGGAGAUUAGAUUGUGUUCAAGUCUUGCGGGGGAUGAUGUGAUACAUUUCUGCAACUUCAACUUAAGAAGGUCUACUGAAGCUCGAUAA
This 294-nucleotide long non-coding RNA is filed under the name Prunus dulcis (almond). RNAcentral's name for it is "sRNA ncRNA". Lineage: Eukaryota; Viridiplantae; Streptophyta; Magnoliopsida; Rosales; Rosaceae. The record is from RNAcentral.